This 69-nucleotide transfer RNA is filed under the name Hoolock hoolock (hoolock gibbon). RNAcentral describes it as "tRNA-Ile". It matches the Rfam family "tRNA". Rfam says of the family: Transfer RNA (tRNA) molecules are approximately 80 nucleotides in length. Their secondary structure includes four short double-helical elements and three loops (D, anti-codon, and T loops). The record is from RNAcentral. Lineage: Eukaryota; Metazoa; Chordata; Mammalia; Primates; Hylobatidae. RNAcentral also lists the same sequence under 1 other name.
AGAAAUACGUCUGAUGAAAGAGUUACUUUGAUAGAGUAAAUAAUAGGGGUUUAAAUCCCCUUAUUUCUA